GGCCAUCAGGAUCCCCUGCUUUACCCCAGCUUUGCUCUUCCUUUUUUCUCCAACUUGAAUCAUAUAUGAUUUAAUCAUAUUAGCUUUUCAGGAUUCUGUUUAGGGUUCAUCUGCACCAAGGCUUCUUGGGUUUUCUCAGUUGUGCUAGGGGCCUCCUUUUCUAAAGCAUCAAUAACAGUGUCUCUCUAUCAUUAUUUAUGCGGAAGUUUCCCCCAUUCACCUAUAAUCUGUCCAGUGACAGGUGUUAAAUGCUGGUUGAUUUUUAAUACACACAGUAAUGAGCACAGCACUGGGAAAAUUAGAGGAAGCAAAGAAACUGAAGCAAAUUAAAUUACACAAGGGAGAUUCAAUUAAAAAUUGGAGAGCAGAGUCAAAUGAGAAUGAAGUUUACUCGAAAAUACAAUGACGAGGGAAGAAUACAAGCGUAAAAGCAGUGUGAGACCUGAUGAGACUAGAGAUUGGAGCUGUCACUAUAUUCCAACUAGUAUUGCUUCCAGUUAUGGGAGACAAAACUCAAGUCACACCCAAAAUGGGAUGCCUAAUUGGAGAACUUCAUCAUCACACUGCAACAUCAUGGGCUAUAAUUCUUUAUAGAUGAAAAUAAAUCUACCAUCCAGGAACUACAUGUAAAAUUACCAGUGUGUGGGCUUAGUGUGAAGUGAAAGGAAGAGGAAAUUUUCUCUAGGAAAUGAUGACCACAAGCAGUCCGAAUGUUUACUGUAUUUAGGGGUGAGGAGAGCUUAUCAAGGGGGAGUUACCUUUAGUCAAAGCCUAAAAGUUUCAAGGCAUAUGAGUUUACAGUUUUAAAAUACAAAGCUAAAAAUAAAAAAAACGCCAUGCUAGACAGCAUAAAAAAAUAAAAGAACAGGAGUAGGAAGGGGAAGAAAGUGAGAAAGAGAAAAUAAAGAGAAAAAAAUGAAAGAAAGAUCGAAGUCACUUCAUUAUUAGUUAUACUGAACUGGCAUAAAUAUUUUCAUUUGCAUAUAAUUUCCUCAGAGGACAUAAAUGUAAAGAAUAGUACCACUCUGAUUCCAAAACUGUGGUAAAAUCUUGAGGGUGUGAGAGGUAUGAUACAACUAGGUACUGUGUAAUCCAAAUAGUAAAACCUAGUAAAGAUGUGAGAAAAACAUGUCUAUUUCAUUAAGUAAUACAAAUGAUCUUCAAAUAUUAACAAACUGUAUUUAACACUAUAGCCACUGUUUAGCCAGGAAAGCAAGUAUUGUUUAGUGUUUGAAAAACAAUCACAUCUUGUAUUUGACUUUGUAAUGGAAAGCAAGAACAAGUGAGAGAAAUAAAUUAGAAAGGAAGACAUAAAGCUAUUAUUCACAGGUGAAGAGAAUGUGUAUUUAGAACUCAAACUUACUUACAAAUAAAUUACUAGAAACAAUACAAGAUUUUAGCAAGUUUUCUAGGUUCGUAAUUCAUGUAAAAUAUAACUUCUAUUUCAUUGUGUCUAUAUGUGAGAAAAAUAUAACUUGAGGUAUCAAGAAAUAAAAGAUAGGACCUUCAUAGGGAAAAUAAACUUAUUGAAAAAUAUUAAAGCUUAUGUAAAGGAACAGGGAGAUCUUUUUCAUAGAUUGGAUGACUCGGGAGCUUAGCCGAGUCAGUUUGCUCCAAGUUAAUUUAUGUAGUCAAUAAAAUUCUAGUAAAAAUAUUUCCAAAGGAUUUUUAAAUGGACUUUGAUAAGCUGUUGCUAAAAUGUACAUGAAAGAACAGUGCACCAGAAAUAGCUAUGACAUUUCACAUGCCUAAAAAAUAAUUAUUACUAAAAUACAGUAAUUUAUACCAUGGACCAAAAGAAUAGACAAGUUAAGGAAUCCUCAAACAGUCCCUUCCAUGUAUGAAAAUUUGGUGACAUAGAUAACACUUGAUAUGAAUUGAAAAAUGUUAAACUCUUUAAUAAAUAAAAAAUUAUGAAAUUGAACCUCCUUCUCAUUCCAUACCAAAAUUCAAUUCUAUGUAGAUUUUCUAUUCAUGUAUACAACGCAAAACUAUAAAAUUCAGAAACAAGGUAAGAUUACCAAUUGCGACUUACAUAUAAGAAAUAGUUCCUUAGAUGAGACACUUAAGAAAUUGUGGCUUGAGCAAUCAGUACAAAUGCAGUGAUUUUUUUUUUUUAAUUAUAGACACAUCUUUGCUUAGUGAAAGGCUCUGACCCUGGACAGUAUUUACAAAGAUAUACACCUCACUGAGUUUGAAAGAAGGAAUUGCAGUGAGCGUGGUCAGGAGCCUCUUGACUCCUUAGACCUCAGCUAGUUCCCUAGAGAACUGAUAAAGAGAGC
Long non-coding RNA from Fukomys damarensis (Damara mole-rat), 2282 nucleotides. The record is from Ensembl. Lineage: Eukaryota; Metazoa; Chordata; Mammalia; Rodentia; Bathyergidae.